Molecule: transfer RNA, 72 nt
Filed under: Lachnospiraceae bacterium
Lineage: Bacteria; Bacillati; Bacillota; Clostridia; Lachnospirales; Lachnospiraceae
Also listed under: 1 other name
Description: tRNA-Val
Rfam family: tRNA
About the family: Transfer RNA (tRNA) molecules are approximately 80 nucleotides in length. Their secondary structure includes four short double-helical elements and three loops (D, anti-codon, and T loops).
Source: RNAcentral
UGCAGAGUGGCCGAGAGGGAAAGCGGCGUCGUCACAUGGCGUUUCAUGUCGGUUCGAUUCCGAUCUCUGCAA